UAACUUUUAUGCUAAGUGGUUAGAGCGUCCUCCUCUGAUGAAGGAAGACGUGGGUUCAAACCCCGGCUGAGUUAU
Molecule: non-coding RNA, 75 nt
Organism: Potamilus streckersoni
Lineage: Eukaryota; Metazoa; Mollusca; Bivalvia; Unionida; Unionidae
Source: the annotation of a GenBank genome assembly